Molecule: ribosomal RNA, 254 nt
Filed under: uncultured bacterium
Lineage: Bacteria
Description: partial 16S ribosomal RNA
Rfam family: Bacterial small subunit ribosomal RNA
Source: RNAcentral
UACAGAGGGUGCAAGCGUUGUUCGGAAUUACUGGGCGUAAAGCGCGUGUAGGUGGCGAUGUAAGUCGGGCGUGAAAUCCCUAGGCUCAACCUAGGAACUGCACUCGAAACUGUUUAUCUUGAGUGCCGGAGAGGAAAGCGGAAUUCCUGGUGUAGAGGUGAAAUUCGUAGAUAUCAGGAGGAACACCAGUGGCGAAGGCGGCUCUCUGGGACGUGACGUGACGCUGAGACGCGAAAGCGUGGGGAGCAAACAGG